UGAGGACCAUCGGGCAGAGAGCCAGC
Molecule: non-coding RNA, 26 nt
Filed under: Mus musculus (house mouse)
Lineage: Eukaryota; Metazoa; Chordata; Mammalia; Rodentia; Muridae
Source: RNAcentral